UACGUAGGGUGCAGGCGUUAAUCGGAAUUACUGGGCGUAAAGCGUGCGCAGGCGGUUUCUUAAGUCAGAUGUGAAAGCCCCGGGCUUAACCUGGGAACUGCGUUUGAAACUGGGAGACUAGAGUGUGGCAGAGGGGGGUGGAAUUCCACGUGUAGCAGUGAAAUGCGUAGAGAUGUGGAGGAACACCGAUGGCGAAGGCAGCCCCCUGGGUCAAGAUUGACGCUCAUGCACGAAAGCGUGGGGAGCAAACAGG
RNAcentral lists this ribosomal RNA (253 nucleotides) under uncultured bacterium. Its description in RNAcentral is "partial 16S ribosomal RNA". It matches the Rfam family "Bacterial small subunit ribosomal RNA", at positions 524 to 776 of the family's 1533-position model. The record is from RNAcentral.